This 253-nucleotide ribosomal RNA is filed under the name uncultured bacterium. Its description in RNAcentral is "partial 16S ribosomal RNA". It matches the Rfam family "Bacterial small subunit ribosomal RNA", at positions 524 to 776 of the family's 1533-position model. The record is from RNAcentral.
UACGUAGGCAGCGAGCGUUGUUCGGAGUUACUGGGCGUAAAGAGUGCGUAGGCGGUUUUCUAAGUUUGGUGUGAAAUCUCCCGGCUCAACUGGGAGGGUGCGCCGAAGACUGGAAGGCUAGAGUAUGGGAGAGGUAAGCGGAAUCCCUGGUGUAGCGGUGAAAUGCGUAGAUAUCAGGAGGAACACCUGCGGUGUAGACGGCUUUCUGGACCGUAACUGACGCUGAGACACGAAAGCGUGGGUAGCAAACAGG